UUUUGCUACAAGGGACCACAUACAACAAAGCCUUCUAAGGCCAUUUCUCAUCUCUUUUUCCAUUCAAGACUGAAAAGGAAAAUGAGACCCAGAAGAGUCUGUCCUGAAAAGGAAGCUUUGAAAUUCAUCGCAUCUGGGAAAGAUAAAGACAUAUUUCAGAAAAAUGUUAUGAGUCAAGAGAAAGGUAUUUGAGUAAUAGCCAGCAGAAACAUUGAGGCAGGAGAACUCCUGCUUGAGUCUGCUGGAAGACACAUGACUGGAUCUGAAUGAGACGCUC
Molecule: long non-coding RNA, 277 nt
Organism: Carassius carassius (crucian carp)
Lineage: Eukaryota; Metazoa; Chordata; Actinopteri; Cypriniformes; Cyprinidae
Exons: 3
Source: RefSeq, a predicted model, not a curated record